GGCGGACGGGUGAGUAACGCGUGAGAAUCUAGCUCUAGGUCGGGGACAACCACUGGAAACGGUGGCUAAUACCGGAUAAGCCGUGAGGUAAAAAAAAAAAUUUAUUGCCUAGAGAUGAGCUCGCGUCUGAUUAGCUAGUUGGUGUGGUAAGAGCGCAAAAAAACCAAGGCGACGAUCAGUAGCUGGUCUGAGAGGAUGAUCAGCCACACCGGGACUGAGACACGGCCCAGACUCCUACGGGAGGCAGCAGUGGGGAAUUUUCCGCAAUGGGCGAAAAAAGCCUGACGGAGCAAUACCGCGUGAGGGAGGAAGGCUCUUGGGUUUUUUUGUAAAAAAAAAAAAAAACCUCUUUUCUCAAGGAAUAAGAAAGUGAAGGUACUUGAGGAAUAAGCCCCCCAUCGGCUAACUCCGUGCCAGCAGCCGCGGUAAUACGGAGGAUGCAAGCGUUAUCCGGAAUGAUUGGGCGUAAAGGGUCCGCAGGUGGCAUUGCAAGUCUGCUGGGGGUUAAAGAUUGAGGCUUAACCUCAUAA
Molecule: ribosomal RNA, 530 nt
Filed under: Nostoc sp. F17
Lineage: Bacteria; Bacillati; Cyanobacteriota; Cyanophyceae; Nostocales; Nostocaceae
Description: partial 16S ribosomal RNA
Rfam family: Bacterial small subunit ribosomal RNA
Source: RNAcentral